RNAcentral lists this ribosomal RNA (1100 nucleotides) under Oenococcus oeni. RNAcentral's name for it is "bacterial LSU rRNA". It matches the Rfam family "Bacterial large subunit ribosomal RNA", at positions 1314 to 2429 of the family's 2925-position model. Lineage: Bacteria; Bacillati; Bacillota; Bacilli; Lactobacillales; Lactobacillaceae. The record is from RNAcentral.
AAAGAUAGGUGAGAAUCCUAUCCACCGAAUGAGUAAGGUUUCCCCCGGAAGGCUCGUCCGCGGGGGGUUAGUCGGGACCUAAGGCGAGGCUGAAAAGCGUAGUCGAUGGACAACAGGUUGAUAUUCCUGUACCGAUAUUUAAUUGCCGAAGGAAGGACGCAGAAGGAUAACACAGGCCACUAUUGGAUGUGGUUUUAAACAGUUAGUCUUCAUAAGAGUCAAAUGCUUUUAUGUUUAAGGAUAAGCUGUGAAUGUACCAAGUUUACUUGGGAAUUGUGUGAUUUCACGCUGCUGAAAAAAGUUUCGUAGGAAGAAAAUAUUGCCCGUACCGCAAACCGACACAGGUACUCGAGUGGAGAACACUAAGGUGAGCGAGUGAACUAUUGUUAAGGAACUCUGCAAAAUGAGUCCGUAACUUCGGAAGAAGGACUGCUGGUUUUAUACCAGCCGCAGCAAAUAGGCCCAAACAACUGUUUAUCAAAAACACAGGUUUCUGCAAAAUCGUAAGAUGAAGUAUAGGGGCUGACGCCUGCCCAGUGCUGGAAGGUUAAAAGGAGGACUUAGCUUCGGCGAAGGUCUUAAUUGAAGCCCCAGUGAACGGCGGCCGUAACUAUAACGGUCCUAAGGUAGCGAAAUUCCUUGUCGGGUAAGUUCCGACCCGCAUGAAAGGCGUAAUGAUUUGGGCGCUGUCUCAACAAUAGACUCGGUGAAAUUUAAAUUCCAGUGAAGAUGCUGGGUACCCGCGACAGGACGGAAAGACCCCGUGGAGCUUUACUGUAGCUUGAUAUUGAAUGUUUGUGCUGCAUGUGCAGGAUAGGUAGGAGACUUUGAAGUCGGAACGCUAGUUUCGAUUGAGUCACCCUUGAGAUACUACCCCUGUUGUAUGAACGUUCUAACUCUGAUCAGUUAUCCUGAUCGAAGACAGUGUCUGGCAGGCAGUUUGACUGGGGCGGUCGCCUCCUAAAAGAUAACGGAGGCGCUCRAAGGUUUGCUCAGAAUGGUUGGAGAUCAUUCGUAGCGUGUAAAGGCAUAAGCAAGCUUGACUGUGAGACUGACAAGUCGAGCAGGUACGAAAGUAGGACUUAGUGAUCCGGUGGUUC